RNAcentral lists this ribosomal RNA (710 nucleotides) under uncultured spirochete. RNAcentral's name for it is "bacterial SSU rRNA". It matches the Rfam family "Bacterial small subunit ribosomal RNA", at positions 66 to 788 of the family's 1533-position model. The record is from RNAcentral. Lineage: Bacteria; Pseudomonadati; Spirochaetota; Spirochaetia; Spirochaetales.
ACGGAGAAGUUGAUUUCGGUUGACUUCUUAGUGGCGAACGGGUGAGUAACGCGUGAACAACCUGACCUCAAGAGGGGGAUACCAACGAGAAAUCGUUGUUAAUACCGCAUAAGACCACAGCGCCGCAUGGCAAAGGGGUCAAAGGAGCAAUCCGCUUGAGGAGGGGUUCGCGUCCCAUUAGGUAGUAGGCGGGGUAACGGCCCACCUAGCCAACGAUGGGUAGCCGAGCUGAGAGGCUGAACGGCCACACUGGAACUGAGACACGGUCCAGACUCCUACGGGAGGCAGCAGUGGGGAAUAUUGGGCAAUGGGCGCAAGCCUGACCCAGCAACGCCGCGUGAGGGAAGAAGGUUUUCGGAUUGUAAACCUCUGUCGCAGAUGACGAAGGAAGUGACGGUAAUCUGUGAGGAAGCCCCGGCUAACUACGUGCCAGCAGCCGCGGUAAUACGGAGGGUGCAAGCGUUACUCGGAAUCACUGGGCGUAAAGGACGCGUAGGCUGUUUAGCAAGUCAGGUGUGAAAUCCUAUGGCUCAACCAUAGAACUGCACUUGAAACUGCUAGACUAGAGUAUGGGAGGGGGAGAUGGAAUUAGUGGUGUAGGGGUAAAAUCCGUAUAUAUCACUAGGAAUAUCUAAAGCGAAGGCGAUCUCCUGGAACAUUACUGACGCUAAGGCGUGAAAGCGUGGGAGCAAACAGGGAUUAGAUACCCU